Molecule: ribosomal RNA, 349 nt
Filed under: uncultured bacterium
Lineage: Bacteria
Description: partial 16S ribosomal RNA
Rfam family: Bacterial small subunit ribosomal RNA
Source: RNAcentral
CCUACGGGAGGCUGCAGUGAGGAAUAUUGGUCAAUGGACGAGAGGCUGAACCAGCCAUGCCGCGUGCGGGAUGACGGCCCUACGAGUUGUAAACCUCUUUUGUCGGGGAGCAAAGAGCGAGACGCGUCCCGCCUCGAAAGUACCCGGCGAAAAAGGAUCGGCUAACUCCGUGCCAGCAGCCGCGGUAAUACGGAGGAUCCGAGCGUUAUCCGGAUUUAUUGGGUUUAAAGGGUGCGUAGGCGGUUGCAUAAGUUAGAGGUGAAAUGGAGGGGCUCAACCCCGAAACUGCCUGUAAGACUGUUGGACUAGAGAAUAGUUGCAGUAGGCGGAAUGUAUGGUGUAGCGGUGA